This 400-nucleotide long non-coding RNA is filed under the name Cricetulus griseus (Chinese hamster). RNAcentral's name for it is "lncRNA (ENSCGRG00015029831.1)". The record is from RNAcentral. Lineage: Eukaryota; Metazoa; Chordata; Mammalia; Rodentia; Cricetidae.
GUUGCCUCUACGUGUGUGCUGCUCUCAGAGAGAGAAGCCAAGCUUGUCAGGGCUUGGAAUUUAUACAAUUAAGAGGAUGCCUUGACAAAUGGAUGGAACUAGAAGAAACCAUCCUGAAUGAGGUAACCCAGUCACAAAAAGACAAACAUGUCAUUUGUCUAGUGUCCACAACAACCUUGGGAGUUAGGAACAGUAUUUUGAAGAUGGAGCAACACAAGGGAGAGGGUCACAUAACUCACCCAAAGUCACAGGAGCUGGAAGUCAACCGCUUUUUCUUAAGUGUAAAUCACCUGAUGAGGAAGAACCAGAGCUAAUGUUACCCUCCACCCAACAUGGUUACUAUGUGUCAAGAACUGUGCCAAAGUAUACAGGUUUUAAUUUAAUCACAUGAGCCCUGUGA